UACGUAGGGCGCAAGCGUUGUCCGGAAUUAUUGGGCGUAAAGAGCUCGUAGGCGGCUUGUCACGUCGGGUGUGAAAGCCCGGGGCUUAACCCCGGGUCUGCAUUCGAUACGGGCUAGCUAGAGUGUGGUAGGGGAGACCGGAAUUCCUGGUGUAGCGGUGAAAUGCGCAGAUAUCAGGAGGAACACCGGUGGCGAAGGCGGAUCUCUGGGCCAUUACUGACGCUGAGGAGCGAAAGCGUGGGGAGCGAACAGG
This 253-nucleotide ribosomal RNA is filed under the name uncultured bacterium. Its description in RNAcentral is "partial 16S ribosomal RNA". It matches the Rfam family "Bacterial small subunit ribosomal RNA", at positions 524 to 776 of the family's 1533-position model. The record is from RNAcentral.